GUAAGUUAAUGGUGAAAUUAUUUGCAGAUUGUUGUAUUCGCCAAACUUCGUUUAUGAUACAUUUUCUAUUCACUAAAAUACUAGCAAAUUCUAUUAUAAAGUUAGCGAAGAGUAAAAGAAGGAGCCUCGAGUGGUUCAAGAAAGACUAGAAUCAACUUGUCUUAUUCGCCACGAAGAACUUUAUCGUCCAAAGUCUGUGAAUCUCUUUAUUAAGGAACUGAAAGGUGUUUCUAAAUCAACCUCUUCAACAUCAAACACGAAAGAGAGAACAGAGAGUACCGUUGGAAAAAUCAACUUAUUCUUUUUUGUUAUUUCGAUACAUUCACUUGUCGUAAGGUUCCAUGCACACCAUACAGCGUCAAACGAAACCAUAGUGUCACGUGGUCGCACAUGGAUCAUCGCUGGAUCUAGAUCAUCCUUAUCGAUCCUUUUACAUCUCGAUCGAAAAGAAUUUAUAACGUUUUAAAAAAGUGUUUAACGUAAACUUGGGCCAAGAAAUCUAUUAAUAAGUAUAUUUAUAAGACUUUCUUUUAGCGUUACGAAGUACGCAGAUAAUCUCGCAAUAACGAAGUAUCAAUGACUAUAACAAAAGAAUCUCUGAACUAAAAAUAAGGUGCACUAGGAAGAAACGCUACAAUUUUAUAACAAACAAUAUUUGAUCGAAACGAUGAAUAAACGUAACAG
This 684-nucleotide unclassified non-coding RNA is filed under the name Bombus terrestris (buff-tailed bumblebee). Its description in RNAcentral is "misc RNA ENSBTSG00005038409.1". Lineage: Eukaryota; Metazoa; Arthropoda; Insecta; Hymenoptera; Apidae. The record is from RNAcentral.